Salmo salar (Atlantic salmon) is the source of this 55-nucleotide non-coding RNA. The record is from Rfam. Lineage: Eukaryota; Metazoa; Chordata; Actinopteri; Salmoniformes; Salmonidae.
UUGUUCCAGUUCUCUUAAGUCGCUCUGGAUAAGAGCGUCUGCUAAAUGACUUAAA